CCUGAGGAGACAGCGAUCACCAAGCUCAGGGCAAGUCACAGGUCCUUGUCCUCCUGCCGCCCCGCCCCCGAGCACGGCUUGGGUGUGUGGAGGCUUACUGCUCACAGUACCGCGUGUUGGGGGCCGAGCUGCAGCCUCUCCAAAAUCCCCAAACUCCUGACCCCCAGCACCUCAGCAACGUGCUUGUGUUUGGACACGGGUCUUCCGUGAGGUGAUUACGUUAACAGAUCCUGUGGGGGGGCCACAUACAAUAAGAACGGGGUCCGAUAAAGACGAGAUCAGGACCCAGACAGGCAUAGAGGGGACAAGCAUUGAGGGCACGGGGAGGAGAUGGCCGUCUGCGAGCCCGGGAGAGAGGCUUCGGGGAACCAGCCUGCCCAUGCCUGAUGCCCCCCGACCCCCGGACUGCGAGGGACUCAAUCCCUGGUCACGGCAGCGCAAGCUGACGGAUACACCAGGAUUGCAUGUGCCGAGCAGAACGAACCCUCGAGAGCACUUGGCGGACACGGGAAAAAAACCGACAGCGAGCACUUAGCUGCCUUUCCUUCCAACGCUCUUUCACACACGUGAUUCCGCACGAAAGAGAUCACAUCGUUUCCCGCUUUACUUUUCACACACGUGUCCUCCGUUUGAUCUUGAACUUGUCUGGGUUUUUCCACCACGAACAGCAAAAACAUGGAAUUUUAUAAAAUUGGAAAUCAGCUCCGCAUUCCCUUCACGGCGGGGGGAGGGGGCGGCACUCUUUGUCUCUUCUCCCGCAGGCUCCUGAUUCCGCUCCCUCCUUUCCUCCGCCGAAGAGUUCGAAGGCUUCGUGCUGGGGACGGCCUUGGCAUCAGCCAGGCAGGACACAAAGAUGAAAUGAGGGCUGGAGAGGUCAUGUCAAAUCUCAGCCCUCCAGCUGCCAUGGUACCUUGUCAAGAGCCACAGAGGCAGGGCGAGGAGCGGUGGAGCCCAGCAGGGCGGCGGGAGGCUCCCGAGGGGCCGACGGGAGCCUCGGGCUACACCCCAGGCUCUCCACUUGACAAAGCUCCGGGACAUCCAACGUUAUGAUCUCAGGCACAGCACAGGCCGUGAAGAAUCCACUAAUAGACAUAUAGUUCGGUGAAUAAUGCAGCUUGUACGCUAAGAAUGCACCCCCGCGGGGAAUACAUCACCCCGUGAUCUCUGGCCAGGGGAAAGGCGUGUCGGCUGGCCCGAGGCCUCGAGGCCUCGAGCAGGCACAGGGACAUCCUGUGUGCCGGGAAGGUGGCAGGAGGCACUCCCUCGAUGUGAAUUCUGAUGCUCUCUCUUCUGAUUUAACGGCUCCCCUUGCCUUCGGGAGCUCUAUUUUCCCUUGCGUCUGUUCGGACUUGAAUGACGUUCCAGGUGAAGAGAAGGAGCAAGGAGCAGGGUUGCUACUGGACAGCAUUUAUUCUGACUCCUAACAACUAAUGGAAGAGGAGUGUUUGGCUGGCUCUAAAUACUUCCAAAUAGAACGUACAGCCCAUGCAGGUACAUAUGGACCACAGCCCUCCCCGGCCCCGCCUCCUCCUGCUUGACAGAGGGGCGGGGCCCGUGCUGGCUCCACCCCCAAACUCCUGCAGUGAUGUCUGCUGCCUUGCCAGGCUGUCAUCCACGUCCUGCUCCACGUCUGUCUUUGCCUUUCUUCUGUCCCCUGCUCCUUAACCAGAUCAUAAGCAUGAAGGGACAGGGAAGGACGUGGAGACGCAAUACAAACUGUAUCUUCUACGGCCCUGGCCAGGCUCCUGUUUACCUUGGAUGUCACUUACAAAUAACAUAGCAUCUCAAAAUGUUCAAAGGACACCCUUUCCAUACAGGUACAGUUAUUAAGACUUGGUUGGGCACGCACCAUGUGAACAUCUCUUACAACAUCCUCCCACGUCCGCCUUGGAAAAAUGCACAGUCUUUCUUGGAGAGAAAAACAGGAAUUAAUUAAAAUUUGUAACUGAAGGUUGUAGGUUUCUUUUUCCUCUUGGAGGAGAGGACUGCAGAAGAAAAUUACAGGGCCAAUUCUAUUGCAGUCCCUGAACAUGAGCGUCUCCUGGUGCCCAGCUCAACAUGUGAACUUGAGUCAUCAGCCCAAGAGGAGGUGGGCUGCCUCGGGCCAUGCGGUCACUCCUGGGGCCACUGCCAGGGCUGGCUGAGUGGUUUACUGUGCCCCGUGAUUUCUGGGUGGCCCAUCCUGACUCCAGGACAAGAUGGAGAGUCCGUGCUCAGAAAGUAGACACCAGAUUUGACCCAGAGCCAUCUCACUGAGCUGCGGAAAGACGUCAGCUCAGCGAGGUCCCCCUGUAACGGGUGCGCCGGCCCCUGCUGGACGUGCCUCCUGGGGAUCUUAGGCUCCGUGGCCAGUUAGGAAACUCAAAUGUGCCCCAUGUUACUUGCUUCCAGUAUUAAACAUGAAAGGGUGAAAGAUGAUAGACGCAGUUGCAAACAGAUGUAUCUUCCAACAAAAUGUAUCUUCUUCCUUUUUACUACAAGUGGAGCCACCAUGUGGACGGUUCCGGCUGCAGCAAGCCUAGCGGAUGCACGCCACAGUUACUUGGAGAAUCGUCUUCUUGUUCCGACUGGGGACAGUUUAACAGACCCGUGUGCAGGAACAGCACAGGACACAUACACGUCACAUGAUAAAUAACCUCUGACGGCAAAGAGGAACGAGCGAGCUUCCGCAUGAGAACAGCAACAUUAGCAGAGUUACUGAGAUGAUUGGGCUCUCCGCCUUUGACUCACGACGCUUCAUGCGGACACAGAAGCCUCUUCCUUCCAGAAUAGAUGCUGAGCAAAACAGAGGAAGAGAUUCUCCUACCACAUCCCCCGAAAUAACACAGAGCCACCACUCACAAGAUAAUCAUCACCAAGCUGCCGUGUGCAGCCUCUACCCUCGGCUCUUGUUGGAGACCCACACUUGCUACGCAGCCACGCGCGCUUCGUGGCCAGUGGGACGGGGCCGUACGGGAGCCACGUACUCAGCGCACACGCUGCACACCAGGGCUCCUGACCGCUGGACAUAAUCCGUCUUCUGGGCCGUCCCCCCUGCAGUCCAGACUGUCCAUCUCAUGGAACAAAGGGCAGUGCCAAGGUCCUCGGGAUCUCUGGGCAAGAGGCAGGACGGACUGACCCGCAGAUGAAAGUCAUGUCCCAGAUGUACCUCCGUAAGGGGAGUGGCUGAGCUCGGCCCCUGGGGCUCAGCCCUCCUGUGUGUGUGCUGACCAGCUACUCGGCCCCUCUGCGAUGAAAGGUCUGCAUCUGACCCAGGGCAGGGAAGGUUCUGGUUAGAUGCCAGCUCUCAGCCCUGGCGACACCCUGGACUCUCCUGGGAAGCUUUAGAAAUGCUGAGGCCCAGGCCGCAGCCCUGGAGAUUCUGCUCGGAAUUGGUCUACGGUGGCACCUGGGAUUCAGGACUUCUACCAGACUCCCCGAGAAAUUCCAACGGGCCGUGCAGGUGGAGGGCUGCUGGCUCCGAUGCCGGGGCGGUGAGACUGCUAACACCUGGACCACACGGACGGAGAAGUGGAGUGCCACAGAUCUGGGAGUCGGGGAGAUUCUGCUGGCAGUGCGGCCCAGGCACAGGUGUGCUGAGAAAUGCCUACCACCCGGCUCCCCGCCCCCCACCCCCCAGGAGAAAGAGCUCCAGCGCCCGGCACCUGCCAAAAUUUGUGCGGCAGACGCUUACGCCCCGAUUUCAAGGUACCAACGAGACAUCGACCAGAAGUUAACCAUCAGUGCAUGAAAGUAGGUUUGGGCACGCACCGCCAGACCUGGGGCACGCUGUUCAUCUCUCUACUCCUCUGUCUUCCUCAUCGGCAACACGGACACCAGACGGUGCCUAUUUUGUAAAGGACUGGAAGGACCGAACGGAACACACACGAGAAGCUCUCAGAGGCCGUCAGGGCCAGGAAGAGGGCGAUCCUACUUUUAUCAACAGGGAGACGGCCAAGACUGUUGUAUGAACCCAGAUGUAGGUCACCUUCCCUCCCAGGAGCCCACGGGGAGGACCCUGGCCCUCCCUCCUUCAGCGUAUGCUUCUGCAGUUCCGCAGUCUGGCCAGCUGCCCCUAGAGGGCGGUGUGAGGAGCCGGAGACCCAGGGCGAGGGACUCCUUUUCAGGGGUUAGUCCUCAGGGACCAGCACACAACCUGGUGCUGGAAACAGAAGCCACUGAUUCCUUAGGGCAACAGGUUCCCUGAACCAGGAGAGGUCUCGUCUCCCUUCCCGUCUCUCCACGGCUCAUCCUUCUGACCAUGAAAGCAAUAGAUGGCAUUUGUAAAAUUUUGCACAUAUGGGGGAGUAUCAAGAGGAGAUAAAACAGACGUUGCCCAUCUCGGGCACACGUGGACCGGUCUUCUCCCAGCCCAGGCCGUGCCCCGCGUUCUGUGCACCUGCCCUGCCUUGCCAUCCCCUGUGUCAUGGUGACAGCACCAUCAGGAAGGUCCCUGCUUCGUGAUUCUGUCCCCAUACCUGUCUCUCUGGUUGACUUUGUUUUUCUUACUGUAAAAAUAGCAGAUACUGCAAAUGUAAAACGGUGCAGCUGCUUUGGAAAACAGUCUGGCAGUUCCUCAAAUGAUUAAACAUAGUCACCAUAUGCCCUGAAAUUCUACUCCUACGCAUCAGCCCGAGAGGGAUGAAAACACAGCCACGCAAACACGUGGUGAUGGGCGCUGACAGCAGCGUCGUGCAGACGAGCCCAAAGGUGGAAACAACCCCAGUGUCCAUCAGAAGACAAAUGGGGGGGGGCUCCUGGGUGGCACAGUCGUUAAGCGUCUGCCUUCGGCUCAGGGCAUGAUCCCGGCGUUAUGGGAUCGAGCCCCA
Molecule: long non-coding RNA, 4808 nt
Organism: Ailuropoda melanoleuca (giant panda)
Lineage: Eukaryota; Metazoa; Chordata; Mammalia; Carnivora; Ursidae
Exons: 3
Source: RefSeq, a predicted model, not a curated record